UGGGGAAUUUUGCGCAAUGGACGAAAGUCUGACGCAGCCACGCCGCGUGCAGGAAGACACCCCUCAGGGGCGUAAACUGCUUUUGUACGGGAAGAACACCCCGCCUCGGCGGGGUCUGACGGUACCGUACGAAUAAGGACCGCCUAACUCCGUGCCAGCAGCCGCGGUAAUACGGAGGGUCCAAGCGUUGUCCGGAAUCACUGGGUGUAAAGGGUGCGCAGGCGGGCCUGUAAGUCAGGGGUGAAAGCCACCGGCCUAACCGGUGAAUUGCCCUUGAUACUGCAGGUCUUGAGUCCCGGGGAGGCUAUCGGAAUUCGUGGUGUAGCGGUGAAAUGCGUAAAUAUCACGAGGAACACCUGAUGCGUAGGCGGAUAGCUGGACGGGUACUGAUGCUCAGGCACGAAAGCGUGGGGAGCAAACAGGAUUAGAUACCCCCGUAGUCC
This 443-nucleotide ribosomal RNA is filed under the name uncultured prokaryote. RNAcentral's name for it is "bacterial SSU rRNA". It matches the Rfam family "Bacterial small subunit ribosomal RNA", at positions 355 to 796 of the family's 1533-position model. The record is from RNAcentral.